This 1525-nucleotide long non-coding RNA is filed under the name Theobroma cacao (cacao). RNAcentral describes it as "long non-coding RNA (TCAC_LNC005192)". The record is from RNAcentral. Lineage: Eukaryota; Viridiplantae; Streptophyta; Magnoliopsida; Malvales; Malvaceae.
UUUUCUUUAACAAGUUAUUUUUUGGUUACCAAACAGACCCAUAAUAUGCAAUGCAAUCAUCCAUGGCAUUAAUCUAAAUGCAUGAAGUACAACAUAAAUUAAUAAAUUGAGCUUGCUUAGUAGGAAAUAACAUCAAAUAUAAAGCCUAAUGCUACAGGCUGCUGGAUUACAUCAGAUUAUGACUAAAAAUGGCUUAUCAUAAGCCUAAUACUAUAACUGAGUUGCCAAAGUCCUUUAAGGAAAGCCCCCAUAGGGGAAACCUGCACCAAGAGGGAAAAUGAUGCAAGGAAAGAACACUUGAACUAAAACCAAAGCUGACAUUCCACAUCAACUCAGAACUAUAACUAGGGGAACCACUUUAAUACCAACAGAAACAUACUACAAUGGCAAAAAUAGCAUCCACAGAAGAUUAAAAGCAUUAGUUGAAACCUUAGUCUUCACGAAUAUGGAACCAACAAUGCAUUGAAUCUCAUAAAUCCUCUUCGAAGAAAUGCUAAAUUUUGGUCUGACAUGAAUCCCUCAGACUUCAAGACAAACAUCACCUAGCAGCAGAAAGAGUCAAUAAAAAACCAACCAGCAACAAACCGGACCCAAAAUACAUAACCCAAAAUUCGACAAAAUCACCAACAGCAUCAAACCAACUAAAACCCAAGAUACCACAUCAAAACAGAAAGACAGUUCUGAAAAUUAAUGUUGAUGUCCAUACAUAUAACAAGCCCCAAGUGUUUGUCUGAGUUAAAGAUUUUUUCAUUUUGGUUGAUUUUACCAAAGAUAGCAAUUAGGAAAGAAAAGGCAUAAGACAUUCAUGCAACUAAAAUAUUCUUAGAAUAAGGCCUUAGCAAAAUUAAGAUCCUCAGCCCAACAAUAGAAUUUGUCAACAACACAACAUACCUUGAAGAUAAAUGGCUGGCAAGGAGACGACAAGACAGCAAGAGAUGGCAAGUCGGCAACGGCAGUCAGCAAGUGAAGGAUCAAGGAAGAAGGGGGAGGUUUUUAAUUUUAGGGGGCUUUCAAGAAAAGGGGGCGGCCAAUCUAUCAACAAUCAGGACUUGGGAAGGGAAGGAAAGGAAGAGGGGGAAUUUAAUGAGAUAUAUAACGGGAAUUGCAUCCUUUCUGAUUUUUCGGUCAGUUCGGUUGAGAAGGAAUUGCCCCCAGCAGUCGAACUGCAGUGCCUUCAAAAUCGACAGUCACAACCGACGCCAAAAUCGACAUCGAAAAACUACGUCGAUUGUGAUGGUCGCUGUCAGUUCCGGUCGGUUGUGUAGUUACAACCGAAUGGUUGCUCAGCCCUGAGUUACAAGGAAUGUUUUAUUCCUUACUUUUGUCAAUGAAUUUUUAACUUUUCAAAAGGACAAUGAUAGAAUAGUUGAAGCUAAUUUUUUAUGAAUUAAUCUACUCAAAUCUCGAAAAAAAAGGGGAGAAGAGAUUGGAUUUGUUCCAUUGUUGUGUACUCUGAGGUGUUCCAAGAUCCGCGAGACCCAAUAUAAAAUUCGAUUUGAGUUGGGUUGGGUUGGUGUAGUCAUCU